RNAcentral lists this ribosomal RNA (467 nucleotides) under uncultured bacterium. RNAcentral's name for it is "partial 16S ribosomal RNA". It matches the Rfam family "Bacterial small subunit ribosomal RNA", at positions 28 to 507 of the family's 1533-position model. The record is from RNAcentral.
GACGAACGCUGGCGGCGUGCUUAACACAUGCAAGUCGAACGGAAAGGCCUCUUUCGGGGGGUACUCGAGUGGCGAACGGGUGAGUAACACGUGAGUAACCUGCCCUAGACUUUGGGAUAACUUCAGGAAACUGGGGCUAAUACCGGAUAGGAGCUCCUGCUGCAUGGUGGGGGUUGGAAAGUUUCGGCGGUUGGGGAUGGACUCGCGGCUUAUCAGCUUGUUGGUGGGGUAGUGGCUUACCAAGGCUUUGACGGGUAGCCGGCCUGAGAGGGUGACCGGCCACAUUGGGACUGAGAUACGGCCCAGACUCCUACGGGAGGCAGCAGUGGGGAAUAUUGCACAAUGGGUGGAAGCCUGAUGCAGCAACGCCGUGUGCGGGAUGACGGCCUUCGGGUUGUAAACCGCUUUCGCUCAUGACGAAGCUUUGUGUGACGGUAGUGGGUAAAGAAGCACCGGCUAACUACGUG